GUGCCAGCCGCCGCGGUAAUACGUAGGUGGCAAGCGUUGUCCGGAUUUAUUGGGCGUAAAGCGAGCGCAGGCGGUUUCUUAAGUCUGAUGUGAAAGCCUUCGGCUCAACCGAAGAAGUGCAUCGGAAACUGGGAAACUUGAGUGCAGAAGAGGACAGUGGAACUCCAUGUGUAGCGGUGAAAUGCGUAGAUAUAUGGAAGAACACCAGUGGCGAAGGCGGCUGUCUGGUCUGUAACUGACGCUGAGGCUCGAAAGCAUGGGUAGCAAACAGGAUUAGAUACCCUGGUAGUCCAUGCCGUAAACGAUGAGUGCUAGGUGUUGGAGGGUUUCCGCCCUUCAGUGCCGCAGCUAACGCAUUAAGCACUCCGCCUGGGGAGUACGACCGCAAGGUUGAAACUCAAAGGAAUUGACGGGGGCCCGCACAAGCGGUGGAGCAUGUGGUUUAAUUCGAAGCAACGCGAAGAACCUUACCAGGUCUUGACAUCCUUUGACCACUCUAGAGAUAGAGCUUUCCCUUCGGGGACAAAGUGACAGGUGGUGCAUGGUUGUCGUCAGCUCGUGUCGUGAGAUGUUGGGUUAAGUCCCGCAACGAGCGCAACCCUUAUUACUAGUUGCCAGCAUUUAGUUGGGCACUCUAGUGAGACUGCCGGUGACAAACCGGAGGAAGGUGGGGACGACGUCAAAUCAUCAUGCCCCUUAUGACCUGGGCUACACACGUGCUACAAUGGAUGGUACAACGAGUUGCGAGACCGCGAGGUUUAGCUAAUCUCUUAAAACCAUUCUCAGUUCGGAUUGUAGGCUGCAACUCGCCUACAUGAAGCCGGAAUCGCUAGUAAUCGCGGAUCAGCAUGCCGCGGUGAAUACGUUCCCGGGCCUUGUACACACCGCCCGU
This 892-nucleotide ribosomal RNA is filed under the name uncultured bacterium. RNAcentral's name for it is "bacterial SSU rRNA". It matches the Rfam family "Bacterial small subunit ribosomal RNA", at positions 505 to 1397 of the family's 1533-position model. The record is from RNAcentral.